ACCAAAGCCAACCGACCAUAUCUUGUGGGCAUACGCCCCUGGAUUCGUAAUGCCAUCAAAGGGACAUUGGAACUGGACAGCCGAGAACAAACGGGUGUUUCCGAGUCCAAGAAGAUGAUUCUGAGGCUCUGAAUAGCAGCUAAUCAAGUAUUCAGUUUUCAGGCUCAUCUUCCAUCUGUCUAGCUGCAAAAUGGUUCCCUUGCUUUGAAUAUCUUGAUUUGUGGGCUAUACAUUUGGUUGAAGUGCUUUGAUUAUCCCAAAAGUCUCAACAGGAAUAAAGAGAUCGACUUAAAGGUGAAAUUUCAUAUGCAAGGAAUCUAUCUGGCCUCUGAGGGCUGGAGAUUUUACUGAAUAGACAAGAUUAUUGAACGAAAAAGUUGUGAAACUUAUACUUGAGAAAAUGGUGAACAAGAGCCUGGGGAAAGAUAAGGAUGAGAUCAUAUUGGACCAGAGGCCUGCCUUCUUCAAGAUUUUUAAUCAACUUGUAGAGAAUAGACUGAAAAUUCCUCCGCAAUUUGUAAGGGAUGUUCUAAUAGGGAUACCUAAAAGAAUAAUCCUCGAGACUUCAUAUGGAAACUGUUGGUCUGUUAAAGUAGUCAAGACUGACGAUGGUGAUGUCUUUCUGGGAGAUGAUUGGCAGAAAUUUGUGGAAGAUAACUUGCUGCAGGAACAUGAUUUUCUCCUCUUCCAUUAUGAGCAUGGAGAUAGGUGCUUCACUGUUCAAAUUUUUGAUAAAAGUGGAGUGGAGAGAACAAAUCAAGAAGUUGCAAACUCAGGUACCAAAAACUUGGAUCAGCACACUACCCAUGUUCAACCAAGAGAGAAGAGUCAGAGUAGAGAAGAAGGUGCUACAUUGCAGGAAUUCUGCUCUCAGCAUCCUUUUUUUGAGACAAACAUCAAACGUUACAACGUUAAUCCUCCUUUUUUAAUGAUCAUACCCAAGUCAUUUGCAGAGAAACACUUCCAAAAGGCCAAGACAAAAAUCAGGCUGAAAAAUAUAGAAGGUAAAGAAUGGGAAGUGAAUUACACAAUUAACGGGGGAAACUUUGUUUUUGUGGGAGGAUGGACCAGAUUUGUGCGCGAUAAUAAGCUGAAGAUUGGCAAUGUCUGCAUAUUUGAACUUAUUGGUGAAAAGGUGCUCCAGGUCCAUAUUUCUGAUGAUUAGAAACAAGCAACUUUGGUAUGUGCAAGAUUCAAGCACUUGGAUAUAUCUUUCAAUGUUGUUGGAAGUAGCUGAAGUGGUGGAGUUGCACGUUCAAGCUACUGCAGAUCAGAGAACUUGAGUUGAUCAACCAUGCCCUCUCAGCUGAGCUCAUGUGCUAGUGGAUAUAUAGCAGCAAUUCAUUGGAAUAUUUGUAGCUUUCUUAUUAGUCUAGCUAGAAGGAAGUUAGAACAAUGUGCAGAGCCAAUGAGCUCAUUCUUUAGGCAUUUUGCUUGUAAUCAGAUUUGCUGAAAACAUGAUAUUAGCACUCUGAGCUUUCUUGUUUUA
Molecule: RNA transcript, 1489 nt
Organism: Coffea eugenioides
Lineage: Eukaryota; Viridiplantae; Streptophyta; Magnoliopsida; Gentianales; Rubiaceae
Gene name: B3 domain-containing protein Os01g0723500-like
Exons: 8
Source: RefSeq, a predicted model, not a curated record